Molecule: long non-coding RNA, 179 nt
Organism: Chelonia mydas (Green sea turtle)
Lineage: Eukaryota; Metazoa; Chordata; Testudines; Cheloniidae
Exons: 2
Source: RefSeq, a predicted model, not a curated record
GCUACAAGAGUGCCAUGAGAAUGCCUGUUCUCACUUUCAGGAUUGAGUGGACUUGCAGGCUCUAAAAUUUUACAUUAUUUUAUUUUUGAAUGCAGGUUUUUUGGUAUAUAAUUCUAGAUUUGUAGGUUCAACUUUCAUGAUAAAGAGAUUGCACUACAGUACUUGUAUUAAAUGAAUUG